UCCUCAGAAACUCUCCCCUCAUCAAAUAUCCAUCCCCCCCCCCCGGCAUCUAAGGCAUUUUCCAUUAGUUGGUGGGGGAUGGUUAGGAGAUAAUUUUUACAGGGCUGGUUUCCUCAUGCUGUCGCUGAGACGCUCUUUACUUCCACUCUCCUAUCUCUAAUACUAGGCGCUUGGUAAGGCAGCAGUUACGCGCUAUAUCUAGCUAGCUAGCAGCUGGCCAAUCAAAAUAUAUUGAAAAGAGUUCCGUGGAGCUCGAACCUUCAACCUUCCCUUCCCUACUGGCUUGCUUUGGCCAUCUGGAUCGGUAUUAACGUAUCGGAAGGACAACAAGUUGAAACCAUAGGCCUGCCUGAAAUUCACAAACCAGGUCCAAAAGUGCCUUGGAACACUGGUGAAAAUCAUUGGAGAUCAGCAUAAGUGUGAUACUUCAAGUGGUGGAACAUAGGGGCAAGCAGGGAUGGCAGCGGUAUUAUAAUAAUAAUAAUAAUUUAUUAUAUUAAAAGUGCUUUUGAAUGAAAAUCAUUUGCAAAGCACUGUACAAUUUAAAAAACAACACAUACUCAAAGAGAAAAUUGUACAUAGAGAUUAAAACAUUCUUAGAGAUUAAAACAUUUAGGUGCUGGUGUCGAAGUGUUCAAUAAAAAGGUGAGUUUUAAGGUGUUUUUUGAAGGCGCUGUUGCCAAUGGGAUCACGCAUCCAGGCCGGAAGUGAGUUCCACAGCCUGGGUGCCCAGUUCCCCAGGCAAAUUCCGAAGACGCCCCUUAUCAAUCUGACCUGGUAAAUCCCACGCCUAAGUUGUUCCUUUAAAUGAAAUGAUGUUGUCCUUCCGAGAGACCAUCUCCGUACUAUAGUCUCUUAUGUCUUCUCUGCAGGCUCAAAGCAAGGUGCUCCCAGAUGGUGGCGGUGUUGAUAUCAAGUUCAAUGGAGUCUUCCAGGCCUUCGCCAGAUCUGUCCAGCAGAAAGGGAUUCUUAGUCUUUGGAAUGGUCUCACACCAACACUUAUAAGGAUUGUCCCUCAAGCGGGCACCAUGUUCAUGGUGUGGGAGGCGUGUAGAAGACUCUUUAUAUACAACAACGGCUACACCACCAGUCCGUUCCUCGAUGAACCGAGGCCAGGGCUUGACCAGUCUCUCUCCCCGGAGGAGCUGAAGCGAGCGCGGAGGAAACAAAAGGAUGUGAUGUACUCCAGAUGAUGCAGGAGAAUCCUUGGGAAGGACUGUGGUCCUUAUCCAAAGUAAGCCCGGAAAUAUGUCCGAUAAAUUUCAUUGCUGUUGUCUGUCAGUUUCUGAUUUCUGAAGCGAUAGGCCAGCAGAUAUGCCAGACCAGAUGGUUUGGAAUAUAAGACAAUUCAAUUGAGCUGUGAUAGACUAUUCUGAGACACACUGUGGUUGUGAAUAACUUAUGUUAAAACAGGUCGGCGUCUUUGGGGAAGAGCUUUCCCAUUGUCUGGUGGUCAGAUGGAAAAUGACAUGUUCAAAGACAUACAGUCUUGUUCCUAGCACAUGUCCAGAUUGAAGCAGGUCUUUCCUGCUAUACUCAUGUUAUGUCACUCUGGUGAAGUUUUACGCAGUGCAAUAAAUUAAUUUUUUGACAA
Lineus longissimus is the source of this 1594-nucleotide long non-coding RNA. RefSeq lists it as uncharacterized. Lineage: Eukaryota; Metazoa; Nemertea; Pilidiophora; Heteronemertea; Lineidae. The transcript has 2 exons. The record is from RefSeq and is a predicted model, not a curated record.